Dermochelys coriacea (leatherback sea turtle) is the source of this 415-nucleotide long non-coding RNA. RefSeq lists it as uncharacterized. The record is from RefSeq and is a predicted model, not a curated record. Lineage: Eukaryota; Metazoa; Chordata; Testudines; Dermochelyidae. The transcript is spliced from 3 exons.
UAAAAAACAAAAUAAAUAGUAUUUUUCAAUUUACCUAAACAAGUACUGUAGUGCAAUCUCUUUAUCAUGCAAGUUGAAAAACCGGUUACCUACCUCUCAUAACUGUUGUUCUUCGAGAUGUGUUGCUCAUGUCCAUUCCAAUAAGUGUGUGCACACGAUUGUCGAAAGGUUUUUCCCCUAGCGGUACACGAAGGGUCGACUGUGAAGCACCCUGGAGUGGCUCCCUCAUGGCGGUGUCUAUAGGACACUGCCGACCCGCCGCCUGCUCAGUCCCUUCUUGCCAGAAGACUCCGACAGAGGGGAGGUGGAUGGGAUUUGGAAUGGACAUGAGCAACACAUCUCGAAGGACAACAGUUACGAGAGGUAGGUAACCGGUGUUUACACUUUCACGAUAAAGAGAUUGCACUAUAGUACU